AAGUACUAGAAGUGGAAGAAGAAGAAAGAACUGUUAAAAGUCUGAGUCAUCCAAUUUCAGAAUAGCCUCUUCUCACAUUUCAUUGAAUUAAAAAUACAGCGACAGAAGGCUAACAGCAGUGCUUAGAAGAAAGCCUGAGAGGAACUUCAUCAUAUAGGAGCAUGUGGCUGCUUCUGAGAGCUGGGCAACCUAACGUUGACUAAAGAUGAACAAGGAGGCCUAAAAAGACCCAGCUCAGAGUCCAUUAAGCGAAAGACUGGAUGGCCCCUCACCGGCUCCUUGGAUCAGCUCUCCUCUGGGAAAGCCAAACACUGUGUCUAGGUCCCAAGCCCAGGGCUCGGGUUGUGGGCACAGCAGAUAUCAAAACCAGUUUGGAUAAGGAGUACUUAGAAAGGGGUCUGGUUUGCUUCUCCCUGUCAGUUUUGGUGCCAUGUUGCUCCUUUUGAAGGACAGGAAGCCAUUUAUGAAGCCAGAUGGCAUGUGGCAACGUUGGCAUGAAUUGGUUCACCCAGAAAAUACCAGGGGUUUUAAUAUCCUCCCUGUCACCACUAGUUAGAGAAGACCGCUAUGACCAGAAAUCCUAUGACUGAUGGAAAAGGAGAAGUGCUUCGAGGAGGUGAAACCACUGGAGGGAAGAACGGUGUGAAUGUUUCAUCCCUGGUCGCCAAGACACAGGACCUUCAGCCCAUCUCAGUUUCUUUACAGCCUCUGACUCCUUAUUUCUGGACCCAGCCCCUUACCUCAGCUGGAUGAUAAACCCAGGUGUGGCGUGAAUGGUCCAUUCACAGUGAGCAUUUAAGGGAUAGCUCUCCAACAGAAUCUGACCCUUUGAAGCUCGAAGAACCUGGCCACAGCCUGGAAAGAGAAGAAAAGUUCAAGACACAGACAAUGGGGUCGGCAGAAGAGACACAGAGAAAUUCUGACAGGGCCUUUGGGCUUUAGCCACACCCCCAAGACCAAAAUGAAAGCGGAAAAGGAAGAAUGAUUCAAGGGAAUUUUCGUAAUUUAAUUCUUUUAUUCCACCCAGUCACAUGGGACAGAGUGGUGCCGUCCCAGUUUUCCUGUCUUGUCUCUAAAAGGGUAAGGCUGACCGGUGCCUGACGUAAUGUCCAUGACACCCAUCAUCUGCCUCUCUAUGACUUCAUUUAUCCUCCUGCAGAAGGCUCAGACUCUCUGGCAUCGCUUCUCCCACCCGUUUAGACAGUGUAUGUGUUACUCUGUUCUGCGAUCAGUUGCGGGAUUUGCUCUGUUACAAACUAUGUAAUAAAUGCUUUCCUAAGGUACGAUACUAGAAAAGACAAAUGAUCUUCCAUGGGGUGAGCUGGAUUAAUGGUUUGUUCUUUUUGUCCUAUCCCCAAGCUCUCUUAUUCAAGUUCUCAUUAGGUCUGUCAACUAAAAAUGCAAAACAUGGGUAAAAGACAAGUUCCUGGCUGAAGCAGAAGCAAGAGCCGGAAGCAUUCCAAUCCCUAAUUCGCUGGUCUCAUAAACUGUCUCCAGUGAUAACCCCAAGACUUGGAAGUCUUUGAAUUGUAUAUUCACUCAUGGUAAUGUACACCCUAUUUUUGUAAAAAGGUUUGUGGUGAAACAUUUUCAGGUGAUUUUAUAGAAAGAAAUUCAUUUGAAUAAUGUAAAUAAAUGUUUUUCUUUACAUGA
Mesocricetus auratus (golden hamster) is the source of this 1653-nucleotide long non-coding RNA. RefSeq lists it as uncharacterized. The record is from RefSeq and is a predicted model, not a curated record. The transcript is spliced from 3 exons. Lineage: Eukaryota; Metazoa; Chordata; Mammalia; Rodentia; Cricetidae.